This 759-nucleotide long non-coding RNA is filed under the name Sarcophilus harrisii (Tasmanian devil). Its description in RNAcentral is "lncRNA (ENSSHAG00000028395.1)". Lineage: Eukaryota; Metazoa; Chordata; Mammalia; Dasyuromorphia; Dasyuridae. The record is from RNAcentral.
UUAGAUUUGAACUCCGGUCCUGCUGACUUCAAAGCUGGUGCUCUAUCCACUGUGCCACCUAACUGCCCCUUGAUUUUCCUAAAGAUCCAAUUUUCCCAAACUUAAAAAACAUCAGGGAUUUUCUACCAACCUGCAAAUGUGAACACUUUCUAUUUCUCACUGAUUAUGGGUAGGGUUCUUACACCUUAGUUCUCAUGACAAUGGCUUCCUUGCUAUUCCAGGAAGAUGAUACCCUAUCUCUCACCUUCAAGACAUUUCUCUGGCUAUUCUCUGGUAAUGUGCUCGCCCUCAUUUGUGCCUCCUAGUUACCUUCAUUUUCCAACUGAAAGCUUUCUUUCUACAGGAAACCUUUAACUGUGGGGAAGAAGACAUUGAACUUCAACAAAUCAGAAGCAUCUUACCGUAGAAAAGAAAGGAGUUUUAAUUUGACAGAGCUCGGGAGAUUUGAGCAUCUCCCCACCACCUAAGGUGGUCUGGCAGUGAAGAGAGGCUAGUCCCCCGCUCAGGAAAAGAAGGGAAGGACAUCUUUGCAGUUAUAAUCAUCUCCCAACAGCCUGCCGAGGACCAAGGCCUGGCCCAAGCAGCAAACCUGGAGCCAGAGGGAAUGGCCCCUGAGAACAGCAGACCCCCACCCCAGGUGAGUGUAUUCUGCCCACAGAUAUGGGCAACAUCAGCCCAAGAGGCCAUUUCCCCGGAUCUGGAGGAUGGUCAGUGAGGCUGGCCAUCUCUCUUAUCUGUGGAUCCUUUACAAAAAUGGGC